RNAcentral lists this ribosomal RNA (1212 nucleotides) under Thylacodes decussatus. RNAcentral's name for it is "partial large subunit ribosomal RNA". It matches the Rfam family "Bacterial large subunit ribosomal RNA", at positions 526 to 2597 of the family's 2925-position model. Lineage: Eukaryota; Metazoa; Mollusca; Gastropoda; Littorinimorpha; Vermetidae. The record is from RNAcentral.
UUUAUAUGAGGAUUAAGAUUAAGGUUUAAAUAUACUGGAGUAAAUAAUAACUAAUUUGAGUAUUUAAAGCGGUAGACUGAAUUUAGUACCGUAAGGGAAAUAUUUUAGAGUGGCAGAGUAGUGCUGGGUGUGCGUACCUUUUGUAUCAUGGUCUAGUAAGAGUGAGAAGUAUAUAACUUAUUCUCGAAAUCUGAAGAGCUACUCACUCCCUAAUUUUAGUUAUAGUAAAGAAUCUAAAUGUGGCAAAAUUUUAAUUAGAGGGGUGGGUUGUAAUGAUAUUUUAUUCGGUUUAGAUGAUAGCUAGUUCUUUUGAUAAAGGCAUAUAAGUGCCGGGGUCUGUAGGAGCAUUAAAGUGUAAAAGUCAUGAAUGAAGGCAGAUUUCUGAGGUAAAUAAGGAUAAGCUUGUUUAUAAAAAUUAAAGAAUUUAGAUAGAUAUGUUUAGGCUUAAAAUUAGCCAGGAGGAUAGUUUGUUAUAAAAUAAUUGAUGCUUGUGAGUAAAAAAAGAUGGGUUUUGAAAAAGUUAGAAAGGAAGUUUAGUUAGAAAUUUAAAUAUAAUUAGAGAUAAUGCUAGAAUGAGUAUUAAAAUGUUAAGAACAGAUAGUAGUAUAGUGGACUUAUAGUGUAAAUAACUGGUCUUAGAUGUGUUGGUGUUUGUAUAAAAUGAUGUUUAUGGAAGGAACUCGGCAAGAUUAAAUUUCCCGCCUGUUUAGCAAAAACAUGGCUCUUUGACUUAAAAUUGAUGAAGAGUUGUACCUGCCCUAUGAUAAAUGUAUUAAAUGGCCGCGGUACUCUGACCGUGCAAAGGUAGCAUAAUCAUUUGUCUAUUAAUUGUAGACUAGUAUGAAUGGUUUGACGAGGAAAUGACUGUCUCUCAUAAAUUAAAUAGAAUUUAAUCUUUAGGUUAAAAGGCCUAAAUAAAAUUAAUAGACGAGAAGACCCUGUCGAGCUUAAGUUGGAAUGUAGAGGUGAUAGUAUCUUUAAUGUAAGCUUUGGUUGGGGCGACCAAGGAACAAGUGAAGCUUCCUGUUUUAGUGUUUGGUAGACAAAGAUCCGGUAAAUAUCGAUCAAGGGAAUAAGCUACCGCAGGGAUAACAGCAUAAUCUUUCUAGAGAGUUCUUAUUGAAGGGGAGGUUUGUGACCUCGAUGUUGGACUAGAGUAUCCUAGGGGUGUAGCAGCUUCUAAGGGUUGGACUGUUCGUCCAUGAAAACUCU